Molecule: small nuclear RNA, 111 nt
Organism: Heteronotia binoei (common prickly gecko)
Lineage: Eukaryota; Metazoa; Chordata; Lepidosauria; Squamata; Gekkonidae
Source: RefSeq, a predicted model, not a curated record
GUGCUCGCUUCGGCAGCACAUAUACUAAAAUUGGAAUGAUACAGAGAUGAUUAGCAUGGCCCCUGCACAAAAAUGGCAAGGCAGCAGACCAGGCUGCUGCCACACAUUUUA